This 458-nucleotide ribosomal RNA is filed under the name uncultured bacterium. Its description in RNAcentral is "partial 16S ribosomal RNA". It matches the Rfam family "Bacterial small subunit ribosomal RNA", at positions 338 to 795 of the family's 1533-position model. The record is from RNAcentral.
CCUACGGGAGGCAGCAGUGGGGAAUAUUGCACAAUGGGGGAAACCCUGAUGCUGCGACGCCGCGUGCGUGAAGAAGUAUUUCGGUACGUAAAGCUCUAUCAGCAGGGAAGAAAAACCGGCCUUAGGGCCGCCAGACGGUACCUGACUAAGAAGCACCGGCUAACUACGUGCCAGCAGCCGCGGUAAUACGGAGGGGGCAAGCGUUAUCCGGAUUUACUGGGUGUAAAGGGAGCGUAGACGGCAGCGCAAGUCUGGAGUGAAAUGCCGGGGCCCAACCCCGGAACUGCUUUGGAAACUGUGCAGCUGGAGUGCAGGAGAGGUAAGCGGAAUUCCUAGUGUAGCGGUGAAAUGCGUAGAUAUUAGGAGGAACACCAGUGGCGAAGGCGGCUUACUGGACUGUAACUGACGUUGAGGCUCGAAAGCGUGGGGAGCAAACAGGAUUAGAUACCCCUGUAGUC